UACAGAGGUCUCAAGCGUUGUUCGGAUUCAUUGGGCGUAAAGGGUGCGUAGGUGGCGCUGUAAGUCGGGUGUGAAAUCUCGGAGCUUAACUCCGAAACUGCAUUCGAUACUGCCGUGCUUGAGGACUGGAGAGGAGACUGGAAUUUACGGUGUAGCGGUGAAAUGCGUAGAUAUCGUAAGGAAGACCAGUGGCGAAGGCGGGUCUCUGGACAGUUCCUGACGCUGAGGCACGAAGGUCAGGGGAGCAAACGGG
Molecule: ribosomal RNA, 253 nt
Filed under: uncultured bacterium
Lineage: Bacteria
Description: partial 16S ribosomal RNA
Rfam family: Bacterial small subunit ribosomal RNA
Source: RNAcentral